Molecule: ribosomal RNA, 999 nt
Filed under: uncultured bacterium
Lineage: Bacteria
Description: bacterial SSU rRNA
Rfam family: Bacterial small subunit ribosomal RNA
Source: RNAcentral
UUGUCCCAGCCGCCGCGGUAAUACGGAGGGUGCGAGCGUUAAUCGGAAUUACUGGGCGUAAAGCGCAUGCAGGUGGUUUGUUAAGUCAGAUGUGAAAGCCCGGGGCUCAACCUCGGAAUUGCAUUUGAAACUGGCAGACUAGAGUACUGCAGAGGGGGGUAGAAUUUCAGGUGUAGCGGUGAAAUGCGUAGAGAUCUGAAGGAAUACCGGUGGCGAAGGCGGCCCCCUGGACAGAUACUGACACUCAGAUGCGAAAGCGUGGGGAGCAAACAGGAUUAGAUACCCUGGUAGUCCACGCCGUAAACGAUGUCUACUUGGAGGUUGUGGCCUUGAGCCGUGGCUUUCGGAGCUAACGCGUUAAGUGGACCGCCUGGGGAGUACGGUCGCAAGAUUAAAACUCAAAUGAAUUGACGGGGGCCCGCACAAGCGGUGGAGGAUGUGGUUUAAUUCGAUGCAACGCGAAGAACCUUACCUACUCUUGACAUCCAGAGAACUUUUCAGAGAUGAAUUGGUGCCUUCGGGAACUCUGAGACAGGUGCUGCAUGGCUGUCGUCAGCUCGUGUUGUGAAAUGUUGGGUUAAGUCCCGCAACGAGCGCAACCCUUAUCCUUGUUUGCCAGCGAGUAAUGUCGGGAACUCCAGGGAGACUGCCGGUGAUAAACCGGAGGAAGGUGGGGACGACGUCAAGUCAUCAUGGCCCUUACGAGUAGGGCUACACACGUGCUACAAUGGCGCAUACAGAGGGCAGCCAACUUGCGAGAGUGAGCGAAUCCCAAAAAGUGCGUCGUAGUCCGGAUCGGAGUCUGCAACUCGACUCCGUGAAGUCGGAAUCGCUAGUAAUCGUGGAUCAGAAUGCCACGGUGAAUACGUUCCCGGGCCUUGUACACACCGCCCGUCACACCAUGGGAGUGGGCUGCAAAAGAAGUAGGUAGUUUAACCUUCGGGAGGACGCUUACCACUUUGUGGUUCAUGACUGGGGUGAAGUCGUAACAAGGUAACC